UGGGGAAUAUUGCACAAUGGGCGAAAGCCUGAUGCAGCGACGCCGCGUGAGGGAUGACGGCCUUCGGGUUGUAAACCUCUUUCAGCAGGGAAGAAGCGAAAGUGACGGUACCUGCAGAAGAAGCGCCGGCUAACUACGUGCCAGCAGCCGCGGUAAUACGUAGGGCGCAAGCGUUGUCCGGAAUUAUUGGGCGUAAAGAGCUCGUAGGCGGCUUGUCACGUCGGGUGUGAAAGCCCGGGGCUUAACCCCGGGUCUGCAUUCGAUACGGGCUAGCUAGAGUGUGGUAGGGGAGAUCGGAAUUCCUGGUGUAGCGGUGAAAUGCGCAGAUAUCAGGAGGAACACCGGUGGCGAAGGCGGAUCUCUGGGCCAUUACUGACGCUGAGGAGCGAAAGCGUGGGGAGCGAACAGGAUUAGAUACCCUGGUAGUCCACGCCGUAAACGGUGGGAACUAGGUGUUGGCGACAUUCCACGUCGUCGGUGCCGCAGCUAACGCAU
This 495-nucleotide ribosomal RNA is filed under the name soil bacterium LU-P1-19. RNAcentral's name for it is "bacterial SSU rRNA". It matches the Rfam family "Bacterial small subunit ribosomal RNA", at positions 355 to 860 of the family's 1533-position model. The record is from RNAcentral.